RNAcentral lists this ribosomal RNA (253 nucleotides) under uncultured bacterium. RNAcentral's name for it is "partial 16S ribosomal RNA". It matches the Rfam family "Bacterial small subunit ribosomal RNA", at positions 524 to 776 of the family's 1533-position model. The record is from RNAcentral.
UACGAAGGGUGCAAGCGUUACUCGGAAUUACUGGGCGUAAAGCGUGCGUAGGUGGUUUGUUAAGUCUGUUGUGAAAGCCCCGGGCUCAACCUGGGAAUGGCAAUGGAUACUGGCAGGCUAGAGUGCGGUAGAGGGUAGUGGAAUUCCCGGUGUAGCGGUGAAAUGCGUAGAGAUCGGGAGGAACACCAGUGGCGAAGGCGGCUACCUGGACCAGCACUGACACUGAGGCACGAAAGCUAGGGGAGCGAACGGG